This is a long non-coding RNA of Homo sapiens (human), 213 nucleotides long. RefSeq lists it as uncharacterized. The record is from RefSeq and is a predicted model, not a curated record. Lineage: Eukaryota; Metazoa; Chordata; Mammalia; Primates; Hominidae. The transcript has 3 exons.
UGUGGAAAACAUGAAACAUUUCCUGAAAAUGAAAUAAUAGUAUCUGUCAAAUGAAAUCAAAUUCACUAACUCUGCAAGACUAAAUGCAAUUUUUGAGGUGAAGCCCCUAUUCUCUAAGAAGAAGCAGACAAAAGAAGCAAAGUCUAUUUGUGUCUAAAAUAUUUGCCACUUACCAAGGGAUACUCUGAGGUGGAGCAGAGGUGGUAAUGUGAG